This 103-nucleotide ribosomal RNA is filed under the name Opecoelidae sp. BB.CG.1. RNAcentral describes it as "partial 5.8S ribosomal RNA". It matches the Rfam family "5.8S ribosomal RNA", at positions 1 to 101 of the family's 154-position model. Rfam says of the family: 5.8S ribosomal RNA (5.8S rRNA) is a component of the large subunit of the eukaryotic ribosome. Lineage: Eukaryota; Metazoa; Platyhelminthes; Trematoda; Plagiorchiida; Opecoelidae. The record is from RNAcentral. RNAcentral also lists the same sequence under 4 other names.
UACAACUCUGAGAGGUGGAUCACUCGGCUCGUGUGUCGAUGAAGAGCGCAGCCAACUGUGUGAAUUAAUGUGAACUGCAUACUGCUUUGAUCAUCGACAYUUC